This 661-nucleotide long non-coding RNA is filed under the name Pan troglodytes (chimpanzee). RNAcentral describes it as "long non-coding RNA NONPTRT018318". Lineage: Eukaryota; Metazoa; Chordata; Mammalia; Primates; Hominidae. The record is from RNAcentral.
UUCACCUUUACAGCAAGUUUGGUAUAAAGCUAUUAAUGUGAAAUCGCUUACAAAAGAGAUAUUAAUAAAAAUCCAAAACUUUAAUGCCUAGACUUCAUUUUGAUUACUAAACUUUAUUAAUAUAGCAAACUAAAACAAUUCUGUUAUUCUUCAAGUUCCUAAGAAAUACCAUGCAUACAUUAUGGAAAUUUAAUUGGAAAUUUGUCAGGCAUGGUCACUAUAGGUCUGAACAUUUAUUGAAACAUUUAAAAUAACUUGAUAAAAUAUAAAUAAUUUAUAUACAGAAAAUAAGAGGCUAAAUCUUCUCAUAUUAAUAUAUAGUAAACCCCUGCAGAUACAACCUGCACCAUGCAGCAGACUUCUACCUGGACAUCCAGGCAUUUCAGUUGGUGGGAGACCGCCUCUGCCUCCCUGUAGGCUCAGAUUCUCCAAAGCCUGAAAACUGGAAUGGUUAAGUCACCCAAACAGCAAAGAUGGUGGCCCACUCCUUUACCUGGGACUGGUGUGUGGAUUUGUCUGGGGAAAUGUUAGAAAAAAUGGUGGAUAGAGUUUUCUGGAAGUCCACUUGAGUAGAGGUGCUAAAAAGUAUCCUGAGAUAUAUAUUGACAGAAAAGUAGCUAGAUAUGACUAUCCUGAUCAAAUACCAAGCCUUUAUUAUGAG